RNAcentral lists this ribosomal RNA (292 nucleotides) under uncultured bacterium. Its description in RNAcentral is "partial 16S ribosomal RNA". It matches the Rfam family "Bacterial small subunit ribosomal RNA", at positions 505 to 796 of the family's 1533-position model. The record is from RNAcentral.
GUGUCAGCAGCCGUGGUAAGACAGAGGAUGCAAGCGUUAUCCGGAAUGAUUGGGCGUAAAGCGUCUGUAGGUGGUUUAUUAAGUCUACUGUUAAAGAUCAGGGCUUAACCCUGAGCAGGCAAUAGAAACUAAUAGGCUAGAGUACGGUAGGGGCAGAGGGAAUUCCCGGUGUAGCGGUGAAAUGCGUAGAGAUCGGGAAGAACACCAACGGCGAAAGCACUCUGCUGGGCCGAAACUGACACUGAGAGACGAAAGCUAGGGGAGCAAAUGGGAUUAGAAACCCCAGUAGUCC